UUGUUUUUAUUUUGAAAAUGUCAUUAUAUUAAAAAUACUAUUUUUAUUCAACAUAAUAAAACAUUUAGUUGUAGAAAUAUUAAUAUUAAGUGUAAUAUAUACAUAGUUUAAUCUAGUAAUCAAAACACAGUGUAAUAUCAAUAAUUUGAGGUUAUCAAGCCGAAUGCUGGUAUGUGGUCUGAGGCAAUACGUAUUUGUAGAGAGUACUUACCAAGUCAAGAAGCAGCUUUACGUCGUGAGUUAACACAAAAAAGCAUUGGAAAUGAUAGCACACAAACUCUGAAAGAAGCUGGACGUUGGUUAAAAAUACCGCUUCACAAGUUGCUACAGAAUUAGGAGCUAAAUUAGCUAGUCAUGAAGAACAUGCUUUAGCGGCACAAGUUUAUCUUAUGCCUCAAGAUAAUAGCAUGAAACUCCAUAAAUGUAAAUGUAUUAGUGAAUGUGCUUUCUUUGGCAACAACAAAAAUAGCCUCAGAUUUUUAAAAUUAACUUAUCAUGAUUUGCAAGAUGGUAUAAGCAUUACAGCUUACAGGAUCAAUACGUCAGGCAAAGAAGAAGGUUUUGGUCAGUCUAUUUUACACUACGGUCAAUUAGUAUUUCAUGCUUCUCCAUAUAAUUUUCAGGAUGUAUUUAGCUGUAUGGUAACAGCUAAAUUUACACAUGUACUUCAAAAAGAUGUAUUUCGAGCUCUUUGUAAAUUAUCUAUAAAACCUCUACCAGAUGGAACACCUGAUCCCAAAUCACAUGAAUUAAGAUCUAAAAUAUUAUCGUUACAAUUACUAUUAGGCAUUUUACAAAAUGCUGGACCAAUCUUACGAUCAAAUGAAAUGUUUGUUAUUGCAAUUAUACUAUACUUGUAUGUUGCAUUAUUUAAAAAUUGUGUAUCAUCUGUUCCAGGAGUAUUUGAAUUAUCUUCGGCAUUGUUCCUUGCGUUAUUAGCAAAACCUAAAAUACAUUUAAAGAUGCAAAUAGAAGUAUUUUUUAAAGAAAUAUUUAUGAAUAUAUUAGAAACGUAGUUCAAGUGGUUCAUUUGAACAUAAAUGGAUGGUGAUUCAUGCAUUAACUCGUAUUUGUGGAGAUGCUAAAAGUGUUGUAGAUAUAUACGUAAAUUAUGAUUGUGACUUUUCGGCUGCUAAUUUAUUUGAACGACUUGUUAAUGAUUUAUCGAAAAUAGCACAAGGUCGUCUCAAUGGAGUAGAGACUUUUAUGUCAAUCCUGGUACUCCUAUUGAUCAACAAUUGUCUACAGAACCUCUAGAUCCACUGCUCGAUCCAUCAUUACCAAGAUAUGGAAAUGCUGGAAGUCUUUCUUCUGUUAAUUCUAGUCUUAUAGGCAGCAAAAAAUUCACAGAUUCACCAGAACAAUUUGAAGUUCAAAAACAACAAAAAGAAGUAUGGGAAGCAGAUAUAGAAAUGUUUAAUAGAAAUCCUAGUAAGGGGAUACAAUGUCUUCAAGAACAAGGUUUACUUGGGAAUUCUCCUGAUGACGUUGCACGUUUCCUUCACAAUGAUGAAUGAUUAGAUAAAACAGCGAUUGGAGAUUUCUUAGGAGAUCACAAUCCUAAUCAAGUUAUGUACAACUAUAUUGAUUAAAUGGAUUUUGCUAAUAGAGAUUUAGUUACAGCUCUUAGAUAUUUUCUUGAAGGUUUCCAAAUUCCUGGUAAAGCUCAAAAAAUAGACCGAUUAAUGGAAAAAUUUACUAGUAGAUAUUGUAAAUGUAAUCCGAAGAUAGUAAAAAUACUCUCAAAUCUUAUAUUUCACAUUACAACAAAUGGAAAUAUUUUCAAUCUGUUGUUUUUAGUAAUGGACUAUUCACCAGUGCCAAUACUGCCUAUGUUUUGGGAUUCUCAAUAAUUAUGUUAACUACAGAUUUGCAUUCCCCUCAAGUAAAAAAUAAAAUGACUAAAGAGCAAUAUAUCAAAGUAAAUCGACAUAUUAGUGAUAAUGAAGAAUUACCCGAAGAAUAUCUAUCAAAAAUUUAUGAUGAAAUUGCUGGCAAUGAAAUGAAAAUGAAUUCACAUCCAAAUCGGCCUGGUAAACAAGUUAUAUCAAGUGAAAAAAAGCGACGAUUAUUGUGGAAUAUGGAAAUGGAAUGAAUAUCAACAGCUGCAAAAAAUUUAAUGGAUUCCGUUAAUCACGUUCAAGCUCAUUUGGAAUAAUUAAGAUUUCAAAUCCUUAUUAACCGUAAUUGCUCUAAUGUAUCUUU
Molecule: unclassified non-coding RNA, 2205 nt
Filed under: Chelonus insularis
Lineage: Eukaryota; Metazoa; Arthropoda; Insecta; Hymenoptera; Braconidae
Description: uncharacterized LOC118071407, transcript variant X2
Source: RNAcentral